This 339-nucleotide long non-coding RNA is filed under the name Elaeis guineensis (African oil palm). RNAcentral describes it as "long non-coding RNA (EGUI_LNC055814)". The record is from RNAcentral. Lineage: Eukaryota; Viridiplantae; Streptophyta; Magnoliopsida; Arecales; Arecaceae.
UAGCGACUGUCAAGAGCAGAAAGAAGGAUGGGCCUUCUGAAGGUACAUCUAAAUUGUUCGUUAUUGAAACUAAUCUAACAGUUUCCUCUUCUUCUUUGGGUUCUUGAUUCUGAUUUAAGUACUCAUUUGUGCACUUCUAUGCAGGAUCUUAAAGAAGUGAGGAGGCUGAGGGAAGGCGAUAUCACUCUCUGGAUUGGUAAUGGAGCAAAGGUUGUUGCUAUGGCCAUCGAGACCUACCCUUUGCGACUACUGUUAGGACUUAGUUUAAUUUUAAAAGAUUGUUAUUAUGUACCUAUAGCCAGUAGAAAUUUGAUUUUCAUCUCUGUGCUGGCACAGGAU